RNAcentral lists this unclassified non-coding RNA (245 nucleotides) under plant metagenome. RNAcentral describes it as "partial contains small subunit ribosomal RNA, internal transcribed spacer 1, and 5.8S ribosomal RNA". The stretch from base 1 to 54 matches the Rfam family "Eukaryotic small subunit ribosomal RNA", at positions 1778 to 1831 of the family's 1831-position model. The record is from RNAcentral.
UUAAGUAAAAGUCGUAACAAGGUUUCCGUAGGUGAACCUGCGGAAGGAUCAUUAAAGAGAAUAUGCCCUUCGGAGUAGAUCUCCCACCCUUUGUUUAUAUUACCUUUGUUGCUUUGGCAGGCCCGUCUUCGGACCACCGGCUUCGGCUGGUCAGUGCUUGCCGGAGGACCCAAAACUCUUAUUAUUAAUGUCGUCUGAGUACUAUAUAAUAGUUAAAACUUUCAACAACGGAUCUCUUGGUUCUG